GCAGGAUGUCAGAAUCUCAAACCACAUGGGACCGAGAGCCAAGGGUUCAAGAUUGUUAUGAUCUUCCUUUGUGCCCAAGUGCCACAGAGCUCAGAUGUCAGGUGUUGAAGAAAUAUAAUCUAAAAGGACUGAAAGGCAAUCUUUUGGACUCUUAAAGCAUUUUACUAAUAACCGGCACUGGCCCUUUAUAGGAGUAAAAUCCCAUUUGGAUUCAGCACGACUGUAUAAGAUUAGGUCAAGGCUCACAAGACAAGGAGAAAGGACUCAUCUCCAGGGCACUUUGCUGGUGUUUUCCUCAAAAAGGAAUUUGCUUUCAAACAGACAUGCAUUCACUAAUCUCUUUUCUUUAAAAAAAAAAAAAAAAGGGAAGAAAGAAGAGAAAAGAAAGAAAGAAAACCACAAACACAGAAUCUCUUCCAACUCAGCUGACUGAGUCCAGUGGGGAUGACAACAGCAUUCAUUUGCGUGAUCCCACAGAGCUGGGGUCCAGGAUAAAAAUAAAUGUGACUUUUCAAAUCGAGACAUAGUGUUGCUUUGUUUAUAACUCAAUUAAAGAACAGGCAUUACAAUGUUAUUGUAUGAUGGCGAGAUAAUGAAGAGAGCCACAUUUUUUGGGCUACAAUAAAGCAACACCUGUGCUUGAAAGAUUGGCAUCAGUAUCUUAAGAAAGCCAGAAGGGGACAGUUCCUGAUUUCCAGGGGGCUGUUCCGAGUGUGGUGAGGGUGGAGGAGAAAAGGGACAAAAUCCUUAUACCUACCAGAGUCAACCAGCUUGGUCCAGAUCUAUACCAGAUGGUUAUGUUUCAUAUUUACUGAUAUUUCCUGUAG
RNAcentral lists this long non-coding RNA (827 nucleotides) under Suricata suricatta (meerkat). RNAcentral describes it as "lncRNA (ENSSSUG00005001847.1)". The record is from RNAcentral. Lineage: Eukaryota; Metazoa; Chordata; Mammalia; Carnivora; Herpestidae.